This 1542-nucleotide long non-coding RNA is filed under the name Felis catus (domestic cat). RNAcentral describes it as "lncRNA (ENSFCAG00000052921.1)". Lineage: Eukaryota; Metazoa; Chordata; Mammalia; Carnivora; Felidae. The record is from RNAcentral.
GGCAUCUUGAUCUGUGCAGCGAGGUGCCUGGAUGGCAGACAUGCGUGUUCUGUCAUCGCAAAGGAGUAUUUCCCAUUGCAAAUUAAUGGUUUCUCAUUCCGGUUCACGCACCGGCUUCUUGUGAGUUUGGUCAAGUUACUGAGUGUCUCUAUUCUUUGCCCGUUGUCCUUUCAAUUGUUCAUCAUUUUGCAUUUCCACCUCGAGCACAGAUCACACUUCUUCGUAUCCGUCCUAGUACAGGAAUUGGGAGUGUAAGUCUGACGUUACUUUUUCUGGAUGGCUACCCAGCCGUCCCGGCAUCCUAUACGGAACAAUAGCCCACGGACCGUCAGGUUCAGACGCCACCCUGAUCAUGAAAAAAAAAAAAAAAGUCCUCAUACGUAUUUAGAUAUAUUUCCGGAUUUUUCUUCUCUCUCUCUCGUUUUAAAAAGAUUUUAGUUUUAAGUAAUCGCUACACCCAACGUGGGGCUCGAACUCACAACAACUCCAAGAUCAGGAAUCACAUGCUCUACCCACUGGCCCGCCAGGCACCCCUGGAUUUUUUCUCUUAAAAAUUCUUCUGAUAACCUGUUUUUAACAUUUUUGAUGCAGGCGCGCCCGGACGGCUCAGCUGGUUAAGCAACCAUCGGCUCCUGAUUUCGGCUCAGGUCACCAUCUCACAGUGUGUGAGUUCGAGCCCCUCAAUGGGCAGUGCGGAGACUACUUGGGAUUCUCUCUCUCUCUCCCUCUCUCUCUCUGUGUCUCUCACCCAAAACACAAACAUAUGCAUAAAUAAGCAAACUUAAAAUUUUUGAUUCAACUGAUUCCCCAGUAUCACACCUACUCCGUGACUGGCACCUGUGGGCCCUGGGUCGGCAAGGGGCAUCUGCCAAGCUCUUCCAGUCCUCUUCUGCUGCCAUUCAGCCACCAUCACACCCCCACAGAGCCUUGGGGAUGCCCACGCACAGCAGGAGGGUGUCUGCCCCCCUCCCGCCCGCUGCCAAGGACACCAACUCCAACUCCAGGCGCUCCUGAGCGUUCCCUCCUCAGGCUUGGCCGGGCUGUUGGGUCCCUGCCAGCCCAGGAGGACAGCGUCCUCAAGUCCAAUCCCCACCGCGUCUGUGUUUUUGUUUUUUUACCUGGCCCUGCGGCAGCCCUGCCUUCGUCUCCACCUCUACCCUGUCCUCUGGCUCCUGAGCCGAAAUCGGACACUCGACCGACCGAGCCACCCAGGCGCCCCUCCAGCGGGUUCUUUUUUGUCCCCUCAGCUCAGCUUUCACAACUAGUUGAAGAGACCCGGUCGGAGAGACAUGCCAUUUUGUUUUGUCUGACUUCCCCUCCCCUCCCCUCCGCUCUCAAUUCUUCUCCCCUCUCCUUUUUCUCCACUUACACACAAAAGCUUUUGCUUCUGUGACUCCCAUCAGAACCCGGUCCGUCUGUCUGACUUGGCAGUGGGCAAGGGAGAUUGUUUUUUCUAGCAACGGCUGGCCACGUUAGGGUCACCUAUACCCUGUUUUAAAAAUGACUCCGGGGGCGUCUGGGUGGGCUCGUACAGGUGAGCGU